UAACCUGCCUGGUAGCGGGGGAUAACUAUUGGAAACGAUAGCUAAUACCGCAUAACAGUAGAUAUUGCAUGAUAUCUGCUUGAAAGGGGCAAUUGCUCCACUACCAGAUGGACCUGCGUUGUAUUAGCUAGUUGGUGAGGUAACGGCUCACCAAGGCGACGAUACAUAGCCGACCUGAGAGGGUGAUCGGCCACACUGGGACUGAGACACGGCCCAG
RNAcentral lists this ribosomal RNA (217 nucleotides) under uncultured bacterium. RNAcentral's name for it is "partial 16S ribosomal RNA". It matches the Rfam family "Bacterial small subunit ribosomal RNA", at positions 122 to 334 of the family's 1533-position model. The record is from RNAcentral.